Molecule: ribosomal RNA, 486 nt
Filed under: uncultured bacterium
Lineage: Bacteria
Description: partial 16S ribosomal RNA
Rfam family: Bacterial small subunit ribosomal RNA
Source: RNAcentral
AUUGAACGCUGGCGGCAUGCCUUACACAUGCAAGUCGAACGGCAGCACGGGUGCUUGCACCUGGUGGCGAGUGGCGAACGGGUGAGUAAUACAUCGGAACAUGUCCUGUCGUGGGGGAUAGCCCGGCGAAAGCCGGAUUAAUACCGCAUACGAUCUACGGAUGAAAGCGGGGGGCCUUCGGGCCUCGCGCUAUAGGGUUGGCCGAUGGCUGAUUAGCUAGUUGGUGGGGUAAAGGCCUACCAAGGCGACGAUCAGUAGCUGGUCUGAGAGGACGCCCAGCCACACUGGGACUGGGACACGGCCCAGACUCCUACGGGAGGCAGCAGUGGGGAAGUUUGGACAAUGGGCGAAAGCCUGAUCCAGCAAUGCCGCGUGUGUGAAGAAGGCCUUCGGGUUGUAAAGCACUUUUGUCCGGAAAGAAAUCCUUGGCCCUAAUACGGUCGGGUGAUGACGGUACCGGAAGAAUAAGCACCGGCUAACUACGUG